GACGAACGCUGGCGGCGUGCUUAACACAUGCAAGUCGAACGGUACGGCCCUUCGGGGUACACGAGUGGCGAACGGGGGAGUAACACGUGGGUGAGCUGCCCUGCACUUCGGGAUAAGCCUGGGUCACUGGGUCUAAUACCGGAUAGUACAACUGCCUACAUGGGUGGUGGGGGAACGCUUUUGCGGGGUGGGAUGGGCCCGUGGCCUAUCAGCUUGUUGGUGGGUGGAUGGCCUAACAAGGGGACGUCGGGUAGCCGGCCUGAGAGGGUGUCCGGGCACACGGGGACAGAGAUACGGCCCAGACUCCUACGGGAGGCAGCAGUGUGGAAUAUUGCAAAAUGAGCGCAAGCCUGAUGCAGCGACGCCGCGUGAGAGAUGACGGACUUCGGGUUGUAAACCUCUUUCAGCACCGACGAAGCGCAAGUGACGGUAGGUGCAGAAGAAGGACCGGCCAACUACGUGCCAGCAGCCGCGGUAA
This 478-nucleotide ribosomal RNA is filed under the name uncultured bacterium. Its description in RNAcentral is "partial 16S ribosomal RNA". It matches the Rfam family "Bacterial small subunit ribosomal RNA", at positions 28 to 523 of the family's 1533-position model. The record is from RNAcentral.